GACGAACGCUGGCGGCGUGCCUAAUACAUGCAAGUCGAACGCAGUGGGGACGGGUGAGUAACACGUGGGUAACCUCCCAUCAGAGGGGAUAACCCUUGGAAACAGGUGCUAAACCGAUACUGAUUGAUGGACCCGCGGUGCAUUAGCUAGUUGGGGCGGUAACGGCUCACAAAGGACACGAUGCAUAGCCUACCUUGGAGGGUGAUCGAGCACACUGGGACUGAGACAAGUCACAGACUCCUACGGGAGGGAGCAGUAGGGAAUCUUCGGAAAUGGACGAAAGUCUGACCGAGCAACGCAGCGUGAGGUAAUAAGGUUUUUGGAUCGUAAAACGCUGUUGUGAGAGAAUCGGUAUCUAACAAGAAAGCCACGGCUAACUACGUGCCAGCAGCCGCGGUAAUAC
Molecule: ribosomal RNA, 403 nt
Filed under: uncultured bacterium
Lineage: Bacteria
Description: partial 16S ribosomal RNA
Rfam family: Bacterial small subunit ribosomal RNA
Source: RNAcentral